GACGAACGCUGGCGGCGUGCCUAAUACAUGCAAGUAGAACGCUGAAGGAGGAGCUUGCUUCUCUGGAUGAGUUGCGAACGGGUGAGUAACGCGUAGGUAACCUGCCUGGUAGCGGGGGAUAACUAUUGGAAACGAUAGCUAAUACCGCAUAAUAGCAGUUGUUGCAUGACAACUGUUUGAAAGGUGCAAUUGCACCACUACCAGAUGGGCCUGCGUUGUAUUAGCUAGUUGGGGGGGUAACGGCUCACCAAGGCGACGAUGGGUAGCCGACCUGAGAGGGUGGACGGGCACAUUGGGACUGAGGGAGGGCCCAGACGGCAACGGGCGGCAGCGGUGGGGAAUAUUGCCCAAUGGGCCGAGGCGGGAUGCAGCGGCUUCGGGUGGGGGAAGACGGGCUUCGGGGUGUAAACUGUUUUGACCGUGGAAGAAGGGUUUCUGACGGUAGAUGGAGAAGAAGGGCCGGCUAACUACGUG
This 474-nucleotide ribosomal RNA is filed under the name uncultured bacterium. Its description in RNAcentral is "partial 16S ribosomal RNA". It matches the Rfam family "Bacterial small subunit ribosomal RNA", at positions 28 to 507 of the family's 1533-position model. The record is from RNAcentral.